RNAcentral lists this long non-coding RNA (1084 nucleotides) under Citrus x clementina. RNAcentral's name for it is "Citrus clementina (C. clementina) long non-coding RNA (CCLE_LNC006448)". Lineage: Eukaryota; Viridiplantae; Streptophyta; Magnoliopsida; Sapindales; Rutaceae. The record is from RNAcentral.
CCGAUCUCGCAAACAUUCCACAUAAUUCAAAAACUCUCUCAAUAAUGAAUCUCUAAACACCUAUUGCUCAAACUCCUAAAUCAGAACAUCAUCGAUCAAAAAACAAACAUCAUCAGAGAAAAAGAAGAGAAACCUAAAUCUAUCUAAUACUUCUUUACUAAAACGAUCAAAAUCCACACAGUAAAGCCAUCUGAGUCCACAUAUCCCGUUGAGGCAGGAGGCCGUUGAGGGAACAGGACAACCAGGCUGAAGGUCACUGGAAGGAGAUCGGAAGGGAAAGAAGGAAAGAUAUUUUAGGUAAUAAUACUCAACUUUUAUCUCUUGGUGGAGGUUGUUGAUGGAAUGAUUUAUGGAGGAAGAGCAAAUUCUUAAUCAUGGAACAAACUUUUAAUUUAUAACAUGAAUCACAGAUUUUAUUUAGGAGAAUCUAAAGAAUAUAUGAUAAAUCCAACUACAAAAAUAACAUAUAAUGAAUACAUGAUGAUAAUAGAUUUUAAUUUAGGAUCAUUUAAACAGAGCUCGUAUCUGUUUAGUAAACAAGAACUUGUUAGGACAGAAGACUUACUAGCAGUAGAUUCACUUAAAUUACCCCAUGAAAUAAAAAGAAAAAUUAUAAACGAUAUUGAAAUAGAUAACUUAAAACAUAAUAUAAUUAUGUUAACAAUAGAAGAAGGACUAGAUAUAGCAAAAGCCUAUUUAGAGCAAAAAAUUUAUAAAGCUGAACCUUCAUAUAUCUAUGAUUCAGAUAACGGAGAAUUUGAAAUAUAACCUCAGAAGUAUGAAAAGUAUAUCGGCUGGAAACCUCUUCGGGUUGCGGGCUACUGGUCCAAAGUGCUACUUUUGAUAGUUGUACCUAGAGGUAGAACAACGCCACGUACGUUUCUAUAAAAAAUUAAAGUACAUAAAAACAUAUUCAUAAGACAUACUGGAUAUACACAGAUAUGUUAAUCAUAUAUAUAUUAGUUUGUUGAAUUAAUAAUAAAAUUUGUACUGCACUCUUAAUUUAAUUUUAAGCAUUGAAUUUUAUUGUAAAUAAAGUAUACUAUAUCUGUGUUUUGUUGAGAUUUUGUUAUAAACCUGUAAU